Molecule: long non-coding RNA, 1423 nt
Organism: Chelonia mydas (Green sea turtle)
Lineage: Eukaryota; Metazoa; Chordata; Testudines; Cheloniidae
Exons: 3
Source: RefSeq, a predicted model, not a curated record
UAAAGUUGAAGGCACAAAGGAAGCCUCUCGCCCAAGGGAAACGCACGUACAGUGGAGUGUCUUGUUUUGGUGACACCAAAAGCAGAUGGGCCAAACCCAGACCCCUGCCGGCUUAGAAUGAGGGUGACAUGUGGAAUCCCCCUCACGCACCUGAGAUCCAGCCGAUGGCGAAUGCCCUCUGCUUCCCCUAAGCCGCGUCCCUGGACUGGGGCAGGACGUAAAGUUUUUACAAGCUCGAGGAGGGCUGCAGAGAGCUGUUGCUGAGACAACAAGAACUGGAGACGAGCGAGAAUAACCCAAGUGGAUGAUCUCACCACCUGAGCCUGCCCGGCCUUCUCGGAGACAUUGGAUACUCUCGCCAGAGGGAGGAAAUCGCCUUUGCUUAUUUCCAUUUUCUUUCAGAAACAAUCUGAAUUCUUGGGACCUGAUUCCCACUUACACACCACGGGCCCUUCACGCCGGCCGUGGGUGGGUUUUUCUUUGUGCCAAAUGAGACUGCUCGAAAAAUCAGCCUCCGAUCAACUUAACUGUGUAGAUUCCCUGCUCCUACUGUCACCGCUUUAUUAUGACUUGUAGCACCAAUGAGCCCCAGUCACGGGCCUGGAUUCCAGGGCGCCAGGUGCUGUACAAACACGGAACAAAACAACGAUCCCUGCCCAGAGAGCUUCCAACCUGAGGAUGACGAAAGUGUAAGGUCUGUCUUUUGUUCUGUCUGUACAGCUCCUCGCGCCAUGGGGUCGUGGGCCACGCAGGAAGCCGAUGACAGGGGCGUGUUGGCUCUGUCCUAGUUUACAUCAGGGAUUCUCACAACAAAUUGUUUGGUAGCCUCUGACAAUUUUCGCUAAACUACUUAAUUAACUUUAGGAAAAACAAAUAAAUAUCUGCAGGCAUGUGUCCAAACCAUUGCCACUUAUUUAGGUCGAUUGGUUUUUUUUUUUUUUUUUUACACUCAAUAAUAAAGAGAAUGGACAGUUGUCUCUAUUCUGUACUGGAUCGAAACAGAAACACAACUAAGGUGCGUUGUGUAUUUCUGUGCUUUGCCUUUUUUUGGUUGUUGUUGGUUUUUGUUUUUUUUUUAAGACUUGCUGGCUAGUAAGUCUGCUACUAUGAAAAGUGAUCUUUGUAUAUUUGUUCAUAUCACCUUUUUACAGCAGAUUUACUCAGCCCCGGCAAGCUGGGGGGACAAAUUAAACCCUAUAUGGGGAGGGAGGCAGAGAGGGCCAGCGGUAAUGUUGGGGGUGAGCCUGGGGCUGGAGCCCGAAGCCCUGUGGGUGGAGCCCGCUGCCACACGGCCAGAGCCUGAUGCCCACGGCUGAAGCCCAAGCCCAAGCCCCACCGCCCCUAGAAAGGUGGGGAACCCACAUGGGUUGCUUGCUCCUAUGGUGUUUGUGGUUCCAGAAGGGGGCAGGGACCACUGCUGGUG